AUUUUCUUUCUUGGUCAGCCUGAUAAGCAAUGGCCAAUUUCUUGAGGGUUUUUUUUCUUUUUCAGCAGGCUCAGUGGUAAAGGAUCUGCAAGAAAGUACAGCUUUGUAGAAGAUUUUGGAAAGCCCCUGUCAGACAAAGAGGAUGGUUGGACGCUGGUAAUAAUAUAUGGAUUCUGUUGGAGAUAGAGUAUCAUACAAGUAUUGGAUGAAAUAUUUACCUGGCAAACAGACUUGCUGCUACAUUUCAAGUGACCUUGUCUUGGUGUACAGAAUACCAUCCCAUGAGGCAGUGCUGAGACACAGCUAUUAAGAAGAGUGAGCCCUGCAAAGAAGACUUUCCAACUUUACAGUAAGGUAGGACCUGUCAGAUACAACCUCUCAUAGAUGCACAAAGCUAGAUCAUCUUUCCUU
Molecule: long non-coding RNA, 411 nt
Filed under: Zonotrichia albicollis (white-throated sparrow)
Lineage: Eukaryota; Metazoa; Chordata; Aves; Passeriformes; Passerellidae
Description: lncRNA (ENSZALG00000008119.1)
Source: RNAcentral